CAGGUGUAGGUAGAGAGCACAUU
RNAcentral lists this microRNA (23 nucleotides) under Saccoglossus kowalevskii. Its description in RNAcentral is "Sko-Mir-4829-P2_5p* (star (passenger))". The record is from RNAcentral. Lineage: Eukaryota; Metazoa; Hemichordata; Enteropneusta; Harrimaniidae.